AAGUCGUAACAAGGUCUCCGUAGGUGAACCUGCGGAGGGAUCAUUACUGAGUUAUUACAACUCCAACCCAUGUGAACUUACCACUGUUGCCUCGGCGCAGAGGCCUGCUGAGGACCUGUCCUCGGUGGGUGGACGCGCCGGUGGACUACUAAACUCUUGUUAAUUUUGUUAUUCUGAAUAAAAAACUUAAUAAGUUAAAACUUUCAACAACGGAUCUCUUGGUUCUGGC
Molecule: unclassified non-coding RNA, 229 nt
Filed under: fungal sp.
Lineage: Eukaryota; Fungi
Description: partial internal transcribed spacer region
Rfam family: Eukaryotic small subunit ribosomal RNA (bases 1-46)
Source: RNAcentral